AUAAAAUAAACAUUAAUAUAAAAUAAAAAAUAAUAAAUAAACAUUAAUGGACAGAAAAAAGUAGCUCUAUAUAUAUUCUGAGUGUUUUUACUCACUUUUUGUCUCUAAUGACGUUAUUUCUCCCACAGCGUCAAUAAUAUGCACAUCACAUCAUGUGGCAGAUUAUGCAAAUUAGGCGUUGACGUCAUUCAGCGACUUCUAGCGACUUUUAGCACAGCCAAUAGCUACUUUCCUUACUGAGGAGUUGGCAACACUGACCCAGAGCCAUAGAGCUAAAAAGAGUCGCGACACUCCCAUUGGACUCCGUUGUAGGCUGUUUGCCGCCCACUUCCGGGGUAUGCAGCCUCGCAUAGUUCCAAAAAGCCAUUCUAUGGCGUCGGACAUCAUUCACUUCCAUUGCUGACUCUCGAGUAACUUCUGAGAUCUUGCUGGACCAGCAGUAUCGUUGUUGUGGCCAUCACAGGUUUCAGUGGAGCCCCCCCCCC
Fundulus heteroclitus (mummichog) is the source of this 485-nucleotide long non-coding RNA. RefSeq lists it as uncharacterized. The transcript has 2 exons. The record is from RefSeq and is a predicted model, not a curated record. NCBI's taxonomy places the organism in Eukaryota, Metazoa, Chordata, Actinopteri, Cyprinodontiformes, Fundulidae.